AUUGCUGAUUGGUUGACACAAACACAAAGCAACUUGUUGCUGAUUGGUUAACACAAGUACAAAGCAAAGGUUACAUAUAGGCAUUAAUCACCAAUAGAUUAAAGGCUGGGAAAGGGAGCACAGAAUUAGACAGGCAUGAAACCUCCUAAUUAAAUUAUAACUAGUGAUUGAUAUAGCAAGACUAAAACAAUUACUAAUGAUUGAUCAUAACAUGAAAGAAUAUAAUAAUCGUGUUCCGUAGAUGUGGUCAACUAUGCAUUAAGAACAGGUCAGAGUAUAAUGUUUUCAUGACCUUAAUAUGAACUGAACAUCCUAGGGAGAUGAGGGAAUGUCUUGGUAUUUAGAACGGGUUGUGCAGCAUGUGCAGAAGCAGAGAAAAGCUUAGAAGCAAGACUUCCCAUCAUGCCACAGUUAUGUGCAGAAGCAGAGCUUCCCUUCAUCUCCCUCUUUCUUUUCUUGUUUGCGAGGUGUUCUGGGUGAAUAAGACAAAAAUACUUCGGGAUACGUGGUAUGCCAGCGCAUGCCUGAAAUAAGUUCGCCAGGGUUGAUGGGACAAAAAUACUUCGGGAUACGUGGUAUGCCAGCGCAUGCCCGAAAUAAGUCCGUCCACAUCUCCCCUAAUGUUUACUGUUGGUGCUGCCAUUUCGCAAAGUAGGCAGCAAUGAUUUUAUUGGGUGGCUGAGGGGGAGAGAGAAGCCGAGACAAAAGACUUAUGAGUCCAGGAAUGCAUUGGAGGAAGCAACAUAGCAAAAUUAAUAUACAUAUAAUGACAAUGGCAUAUUGAAAGAGAUUACGAAGCCAAGUCAGGUUUGGCAACCAAGCGGUAAGCCACUGGGUGAAAGAAUCCCAGAGGCCAGAAAAUCCAACGUCCUGUUUAAUGUGGUGUGUAAGAUUUUGCAAAUGAGAGAUUUGGCUUUGAAUGGCUUUAGAAUUAUCAGUAAUAUUGAAACAACACAUGUCGGCCACUUGUUCACGGCCAUAAUGAUGAAGCAUCAAUAAAUAAUCGACAGCAGUGCAGUUUUGCAGAAGGCCAUGCUGGAGUUCACUCUGUUCUUUAUGGGAGCCUUUAGGACUGGUGCUAUAUGGUCCCAGUUGCCACUCCCAGGCCCCAGUCCAGUUGCCGCAUUCUGGAUUAGUUGUAGUUUCUGAGGCACCUUCAAAGGUAGCCCCAUGUAGAUCGCAUGGCAUUAGUCCAAGCAGGAGAUAAUGCUUGUCAUCCUAAGAGCUGUGCUUCUCUCUUCCAGUUCUAUGUGGUGAAAGUGGACUAUGACAAGCUGAAAAAGGAGCGCCCAGAUUUCAGAAGAGCAAAUGUUCUCCCUCUACAAGCUGCAAAAGUUGAAGUGGUUUAGGUCUUCCAGAAGCCACCCGCACAACUCAUACACUUAAAUCAUCCAGCAAAUCUUAAAACUGAUUGCACAAUGAGCUUAAGUUAGGCAUGUCCAAAGUCCGUUUUGGGGGCCAAAACCGGCGGUUGGUUUAAUCUGGCCCCUGUGGCAGUUUAUUUCCUGGGGUAAAAAACUGAAAAACCUCAACAACUUCAAUUCUAAAAAAAGGUUAACACCUUUGGUUGGCCCUUUGGUCAGCCCUCACAGCCCUUCACUUCAUCAAAUCUGGCCCACUUUGAGAAAAGUUUUGACACCACUGAAGGGUUAAAGUCAAAGAGUUCAAGAGAAGCAGAGAAGGGGGUGCUGAAUGUUAGCAGUUUCAUUCUCUCCUGUGAUGCAGAGUGUGUGUGACUACUGGAUCACAUGCUCUGUGUUGACAUUCUUUGGAAGCUGGGAAUGGAAGGAACUGUGUGCCACUUCCGUCUUCUUUGUUCUUUGUUCUUUUCUGUUGUUCUCUCAUGGAGGGCCCCCCCAUGCUGCUUCCGUUGGAAAAGGGGCGUGGUUUAAGUAGCCCGGUCGCCUUUCCCAUUCCCACUGUGCCCUGCCCCUUUCCCUGCAAGUGUUCAGGUGAGUUCAAAAUGCCUUGGGGCGCAGCAAGCUUGGGGAGGGGCUGGGGGGAGGAUGCAAUGCCAGUGUGAUGAUGGAAGGGGAGAUAGCAGGCAGGGAAGCUGCUGGGCAGGUGGGGGAGGGAAAGAGACCCUCCCUCCAAAAAAUGAAGGGAGGUGGGUGUGCAUCUGAGGUCCCUCCCCGCAUUUUGAGUAUUCCAAAUAGCAAUAUGGAUACUAUAAACACAUGCAGAAAGGCAAACGUUUCCUCAAUUUCAGCUGAGUUUCUUGCAAUCCAGGGGGUUGGACAACCUAUUUCUUAAUAGGUUUAAUUGGGUUUAGUGCUUUUGAUGGGGCAGUGGGGAGAGAGAAGAAAAUGAGGGAGGAAACAUUAGGCCACAUUAGGAGCACCGUCCAUUGAAAGUGCUAUGAAGCCGCUUUAAACAGGAAUGGCUUCCCCUCAGGGAUUCUGGGAACUGUAGGUGGUUAAGGGGAUGGAGGGUUGUUAGGGUGGUUUAGGAUUAGGGUUAGGGUUAGGGUUAUGAUUGGGUUAGGGUAGAGUAGGAAUAGGGUUCCUUCUUGCCAGGGAACUCUGGAAUUGUAGCUCUAGUUAAGAGGCAGGGGUAGGGGUAGGGGUAGGGGUAGGGGUGGGGUUCCCUUCUUGCCAGGGAACUCUGGGAAUUGUAGCUCUAAUUAGUGGGCAGGGUUAGGGUUCCCUUCUUGCCAGGGAACACUGAAUUGUAGCACUAGUUAAGGGAUAAGGGUUAGCAUUAGGGUUAGAGUUAGGGUUAGACUCAGGGGUAGGGAUAAGGUUCCCUUCUUAGCAGGGAACAGGGGGUCUCCUAACAACUCUCAGCACCCUUUUCAAACUAUAGCUCCCAGAUUCUUUGGGGGAAGAAGCCAUGAGUGUUUAAAGCGGCUUCAUAGCGCGUUAUAUGGUGUGGAUGUGGCCCUGACCUCGCUCACCCCACUGCCUCUUAUCAAUGAAGAAUCGAAAGUUAAUGGCAAUUGUGAAUUCACAUGAUGUGAAUUGUGAAUUAUGAUUCACAAUAAUUAUGAAUUAUUAUUUACGAUCUACGAUUCAUGAUAUUUAUGAAUUAUGGAUUCUGAUUCAUGAUUUUCAAAGCAUGAUAUUUAUGAACUAUGAAUUAUGAAUUAUGAAUUACAAUUAAUAUUUAUGAAUUAUGAUUUAUGAUUCAUGCUAUUUAUGAAUCACGAAUCAUGAAUUAUGAAUCACGAUUUAUGAUUCACGAUUCAUGAUUUAGGAUUCAUGAUAUUUAUGAAUUAUGAUUUAGGAUUCAUGAUUUAGGAUUCAUGAUAUUUAUGAAUUAUGAAUUGUGAUUUAUGAUUACGAUUCAUGAUAUUUAUGAAUUAUGAAUUGCCAUUAACUUGAAAUGCCAAUAAAAGUUAUUGUAUUGUAUUGUGUUGUGCUGUGUUGUAUUCUAUUAUGAUUAACAUGGGAAGUGGAAUGGUAAAAUGUUAAUGAGAUGAACACGAUACUUCUGUAAACUGGCACGCCCCUUCUUGUGGGCGUGGAAGGAGGGACUUGCGGCUGGACAAGCAACUUUAUAAGAUGUUUUUCUUGAUGAAGAUGUGCCUGAUCUUGGCUUACCCCAUUUGCAAAUGUGUGUAAUAAAAAACUUUCCUAAUUCACCCAUUUUGUCCAGAUCACUUUAUUUAAAAGGAUCCAUAGACCUAAGUCAAAGUAAACAGUUUAUUUAUUUCUCACAAAGGGCAAAAUAAAUAAAUAAUACCAAUCCCUCAACUACGAAAAGCAAAGUUUUUGCAGCAGUGUAAAAACUAACAGAUUUGGGGAAAACCUUUUUUAAAUGGUAGGGUCAGGUGGCCUUGGUGGGUGCUAAGGAGGGUUUCUGAGGGUGCCAUGGAGUCCACAUGCCACACGUGUCACGCGGGGAGGGGCUCAUCAGUCAUUAUUUGUUUAUUAAUAAAUGCACCCCCCCUUGAGGCCUAGUUUCCACAGCCCUGUCUAUGUAUGGUCUCCUGUGAUGUCACAAACAGACAUAGCAGCUGAGGGGAAAGAGGCAGUUUCUUAUUCUAGAAUUUCAAACACAAGAGGGCAGGAGGGGGACAUUUUUCAGCCCAGGGGCUGCAUUUCCCUCCACACAACACUAGUCCAAUGUACAAAUGAAUGGAGCAAUGAAAGCAAGCCUUAUCUUUGCAGAGGAAGCUGUUCAAGGAAUGACAUGCAGAAAUAAAGCACUAAACCCAAUUAAACCUAUUAAGAAAUAGGUUGUCCAACCCCCUGGAUUGCAAGAAACUCAGCUGAAAUUGAGGAAACGUUUGCCUUUCUGCAUGUGUUUAAAGUAUCCAUAUUGCCAUUUGGGCGUGCUUUCAAACUGCUAGGUUGGCAGGAGCUGGAACUGAGCAACAGCAGCUCACCCCAUUGUGGGGAUUGGAACUGAGCCACGAGAGCUCAUCUCGCUUUACAGGCCGAGGGAGACGGCGUUUGUCCGCAGACAGUUUUUCCGGGUCAUGUGGUCAGCAUGACUAAGCCACUUCUGGCGAAGCCAGAGCAGUGCAUGGAAAGGCCGUUUACCUUCCUGUUGUUGUGGUACCUAUUGCACUUUUGGGAGUGCUUUCAAACUGCUAGGUUGGCAGGAGCUGGGACUGAGCAACAGCAGCUUACCCUGUUGUGGGGAUUUGAACCGCUGACCCUCUGAUCGGUAAGCCCAAGAGGCUCAGUAGUUUAGACCACAGCACCACCCGUGUCAUAGUCCACCAUUAAUCCUGGGCAAUUAUCCAAAACUCUGUCUUGGCCUCCUUCCAGCUGUUAAUAAGAUGAUGCCUCCACACUGAAACAAUAGCUCCAUCAGGAUUUCCUUUCAUCUUUCCCUUAAUGAUCAUUGCCAGAAUCAUAGUCAAAAUUUCACACAGUCCAUUUCGUAAUUAAGAUAGCAUUCACUUACGUAUUUCAAGCCAUUUUGUUUUGGUCUUGACAAAAGUCUUUCCCCAGAUCAAAUCCUUCUCAGUGGCUGAUUAAAUCAGCAAGUUAUUUUAUCUCCGCUGGUUCAGAGCAUGCCCGUUAAGUCCGAAUUUUUAUCUUAAAAAUAGGUGUCCUUUGCUCAUGGGGCCAGCUUUGGAUAGUUGCCACAACUGUGUGACUUACACACAGCUGCCCCUGUCCCCUCUUCCUUCUGGACGGACAGCAGGUAUCAGGACGAUCUGUGGUUGGAGUGCCCCCCCAACCCUGGGAGGGUUGGAGGGAUAAUUACUCCCAUAUUAUCCUCAAUUACCAGCAUGGAAUGGCUCCUUUGUAAUUGGCAUAGCCAAUUGUCAUGGCAGACAAACAGGAAGUGCGAGCUCAUUGAGUAUUUAAACACUGAAGCCCAAACAAAGCUUUUGUUUUCCUUUAGGUCUCAGUCAUUUGAGAACGUGAAAGAACAUUUUGUGAAAGCCAAUAAUAAUAAUAAUAAUAAUAAUAAUAAUAAUAAUAAUAAUUUAUUUAUAUCCUGCCCAUCUGAAGUGCUCCGUUUUAGGUUUCUGUUUCAGUGGUCUCAAGCAAGGCUUAAUUCUUCUCUGGAUUGCAUUGAAUGCUUUUGAACUCCCAGAACAAGCGCUUAAACCUUUUAACAGCUCAUGUUGCAAAACUAAACGGUGACAUUAUUCAAGGCCAGACACCUCAUUUUCAUUGUUUAUCCUUACUCAACUGCACCUGGCUCCCCCCUGAAAAUCAGCUGCUGGGGCUGAGAGCAAGACACAAGGAAGUAUUUUCAGAGCUGAACUGCAAGAAACUUACUAAGUGCCUAGGAGCCCUAAACAGGCAGUUAAUAUUAUGAUACUUCUGCCUCACACGCACUGAAAUUAUACCCCUUUGCUUCAAUGGAAGGAAAGGAUCUCUAAUCAUUCAGCUUUAAUGGGCUUAAAAGACAUUUUGCAGGAAGAAUCACGAGUCAAUGGCAGAAACUUAGGGAUCUAUCAUGCUUAUUCAGUCAGAGUUUAGAAGAUUGAACUGGAGAGGAGAGUGAAGAAUCAUAGAAGGGACCCGAGGGUCAUCUAGUCCAACCCCAAAAUGCUGUGAUCACAUACCCCAGGCCUUCCAAACCUGAAGCUUAUUAUUCCUCCCACCAAAUGGUCUUUAUUAUUAUCAUUAUUACUUGCCCUUCAGCCAUAGAUGUCAGGGAUGGGGCUGGUGGAAGUUGGAGUCCCAACAAUCUCUGCUGGACACCAGGCUCCCCAUCCCUGGCCUAUACGAUAACCAGCAUCAUAACCCUAGUUAAGUAUUUCAUACCAUACCUUGUACUGGUCAUUGGGUCCUAGCUCGUUCCAAGGCUCUGGGUUGCUCUUUUUGUCCCAGCCAGGCAGAAAAAUGUGACCAGAGGCAGACAGCAAGGAGCACAUCUGUGUAAGAAGAAGAAAAAAUACUAAACAGAUAAUAAAUACUGUGAGUAUGGCAGCCUCUCAAAUGGAGAAAAAUGUGAAUUCACUGGCACAGGUGAUGGGACAAUUUAAAGAACUGAAUGUUAAAACCACUGAGGUGGAACAAGAAGAGGUGUGAGGUUUGAGGAAAAUACGGGGGAAACAAAAGGUGGUGGUAGAUGAAACCAGCACCUCGUGGGAAUUGCUCUGGGGUGCCAUGGCUAUUUUGGAAAUGAAACAGGAAAGGAGGGUGACUCGUUUGAGAGGCUACUAUAUGUGGUGGCAAUGUAAGGUUAUUUUAAAAGCUUUGAUAAUGAUAUAGAAUGAUUUGAAGAAAAUGCUUAAAAUAACCUUUGUUAAAAAAAAUGGAAGCCUUGACACUGGUUUAUCAAGGAUUAAAUGUUUUCAUAGAGCAGAAGAAUUUCCUCCUGUAUCUGAUAGCAGCUGCUCAGCCAUGAUCAUCCCAGAAUUUGAAAAAGAAGAAGCCCCCACCAAAGAAGAUAAAGAAGAUUGGUAAAGCAAAUUAAUGGACUAUGCAGAAUUGAUUAAUUAAUUAGAAACCCAACAAAAUAAGAGGACAAUAAUUUGAAAAAUGUGAAAUAUUUAUUGCAUAUUUCCAUAGCACUGUGUACACUAUUAUACAUUAUCAGGAAUUUGAAAAACACUUGUAAUAUGAUGAAUAAUGUAUAAAAUUGGAAAUUAUUGUGAAUUGAAGAUAUUAAGGACGUGCAUGAACAAAUGUAAAACAAGAAAACCAAGAAGGGGAGUAGAGGGAAGUCAAGGAAUUUUAGAAAUCUCAUCUUUGCGAGUUAUUAUGGAUUGCAUAUAUAGUUGAUCUAAGGAUUAUGGUAUGGUUAUUUUUAUGUGGUAUUUUUUGUUAUAUCACAUAAAACACUAUUUUUAAAAAAGGAAUGCAAUUUCUCAUGUAUCAACUGUUCUCCUGGAGACAAAUAUACUGCUAUCUUGGGAAACGUUCAUCAAGCAAGGCAUUUGUCUUGUGCAAAAAUAACUUGUACUCAUAUGCAAGAUAAUUGACCAUUUUGUUUCUAGUGAAAUAAAAUUUCUUAAAAGAAAGGAAUAA
This 7388-nucleotide long non-coding RNA is filed under the name Podarcis lilfordi (Lilford's wall lizard). The record is from RNAcentral. Lineage: Eukaryota; Metazoa; Chordata; Lepidosauria; Squamata; Lacertidae.